GACGAACGCUGGCGGCGUGCUUAACACAUGCAAGUCGAACGGAAAGGCCCUGCUUUUGUGGGGUGCUCGAGUGGCGAACGGGUGAGUAACACGUGAGUAACCUGCCCUUGACUUUGGGAUAACUUCAGGAAACUGGGGCUAAUACCGGAUAGGAGCUCCUGCUGCAUGGUGGGGGUUGGAAAGUUUCGGCGGUUGGGGAUGGACUCGCGGCUUAUCAGCUUGUUGGUGGGGUAGUGGCUUACCAAGGCUUUGACGGGUAGCCGGCCUGAGAGGGUGACCGGCAACUUGGGGCUGGGGUACGGGCCCGGAUUCCUAGGGGGGGAAGAGGGGGGAAUAUUGCACAAUGGGCGGAAGCCUGAUGCAGCAACGCCGCGUGCGGGAUGACGGCCUUCGGGUUGUAAACCGCUUUCGCCUGUGACGAAGCGUGAGUGACGGUAAUGGGUAAAGAAGCACCGGCUAACUACGUG
Molecule: ribosomal RNA, 467 nt
Filed under: uncultured bacterium
Lineage: Bacteria
Description: partial 16S ribosomal RNA
Rfam family: Bacterial small subunit ribosomal RNA
Source: RNAcentral